GAUUAUUACAUGCCACAAAUACACCACCUUUAUUACAUUAUGUCAGACUGGUACUAAUUAUACAUACUCACUGGUACAACUCAACUUUCCUUAUUUAAUUUACAUAAGGAAACCACCACCUACUAUACUACUCUAGUUAUCUUCAUCCUUGGCUGCUCCCGCUCCACUGCCAACUUCGGGAGAACGAUCAUCUGCGAGAUUCAUGGAAGAAGGGGCUCCAAAGAGAUCCAACUCCCCAUAUGAUCCUCCGCCAACUGCUCCUGACGUUCCGGCUCCCAUUGCUGCAACCUCCGGUGGUACGUUCGGAUGCAACUGGUCGUAUAACACGUGCACUUCCUCAUGCAAACUAUUAUUGUAUGCUUGCAGAUUCUCCAGGGCUACGCUUAGCUCCAUUACCCGGGCUCGGGCAUUCGCCUCGCAAUUCCAGUCUAUAGAUUGUGAAUUUAUAGCCCAGUCUAUAGCCCUGUCUCAUUCCACGAUCUCCCUGUAAAGUAUUUUAAAAUAUUUUGAAGCACUAAGUAAUGUCUGAAGAAACAGGCUUUGUUCCAAUACCAGCUGUGACAGAACCUCCCAAGGUAUUAGGCCCACCUACAUAUGUCCUUGUCCUAAGGACCUUAGACAGUCACGCAGGUGUGCAUAAUGACUCGACAAAUUCGAUUAUCUGUAUCGCCAUCUCAUGGCCCAAGAGCGCUUAACCCAUUACGCAGACAUUACAAAUCAUCGGAGUAAGGAAUAAGUGGAACGGAUUACAAUAACAUAAUGUAGACUUAAUGCUACAUGUAAGUCAGUGACUAAGUCUUCAUGUCCGAGAAGUAACGGUGAUCCGAAUCGAUUAAUACCCAGCUCGGAAUCUCCAACCACACGACAUAUGUAGCACUUAACCCUUGCAUAUGUCAACUCGCACCUGGGUUUCUCAAGACCAGAAUGGGUUCACGCCAACCGAGAGCACAGAUUCUCCACCGUCCAGCCUCUUGCCAUGGAGGGCACACGCUACUGUCGCCAUCUCUCCUCUCCCAUUGUGUGGUGGCCUUUCUGGUAUUGGUUCGACAGAGGCAAAGCUUACCCAUGAUAAGGCAUAUGGCCAGUUAAAAGGUCCUCGGUCAGCACGCCUACAUCGGCUCGGUCCUUAAGCGACUCAGACGGAGACACUACACCGAGACUCCCUUCUCGUGAAAGUCACCCGCCCGGUCUCGUCUUUAUUAUUUAAGACCUCAAAGUUUAGUACCUGGCAGAGGUACUUCUUUUCAGAUGUUGAACCCAUCACGACCGUGAUGGAUCCACCAUCAUCAGUAUCUUCUGUGUAAAACAAUCCCCAUCCAGUGUGAAGCAUCAUCUUUUGUUUUAAAAUAAAACAUUUUAUUUUUCUAGAGCAAGGCUAAGCAUCAUAAAAAUCCUUUUCAUAAAAGGGUAUCAAGGAAUGGUAAUCCAUUUUCCAAGGAAGGAAAUGCAUCAACUGUUUAGCACACAACUCUUGUCAUCUAAUGCAUCAUAUGAGGUUAUAAAGGUUUUAAACAACAAGGAAAGGGAUAAUGCACUGGGGCUUGCAUUGUGUUGCAGGAGGUUCUGGUUCCACACCGCAAAUGUCGAAGUAAAAGUUGUUCUCCGCUGGAAUAUUCUCAGUCUCGGAGACAACCUCUUCUUCUACUACGGUUUCUUCCUCGUGUUCUAUACAUGAUAAUACAUGUAUAUGAAUGCUUAUGCUAUGUCAUGAAUAUGCAGUUACAUAAUAAAAAAUAUAAUAAGUUGCAUCUUGAAUACAACUUUCAUUCAUGGUACAACUAAUCACUAAGGUUUUCUAAUUAGAUAUUUCUUUAGGAUUAGUAUUAAGUAACUAACCCUUUGAGGCUAGUUGUUGGGUUUUUGAGCAAACAGUCCAAAUCAUUUCAAACUUCACUCACAGGCUCUAAUCAUCAUAUUAAGCCUACUUAAAAAGUUUUAUGAUUUUUGGAAUUACUAAACUAUUGCUAAAAUUCUAAAAGGCUUGGUUUAAGCACCUUUAAAUGCUACAUAAUUCUAGGGUUGGGAAAAAAUCUGGAAAUUAUUUUUAUUAAAAACUAUGUGAUUUUAGGAAUCUAAAAAAUUGGUCUCAUGAUUUUACCAUUUUCUACUAUUUUCUACAGAUUUCCCGAGUUGGCAGUAAAAAGAAAAAGAUAAACCAUGAAUAGUGACAAGCCGGAUCUGGCCCAAGUCGGCCCACGAAUAGGGGAAAAGGCGCGCGCCUGCGCCUUGGUUUGCGUCGGGGCUCCAAGGGUUUCAAACAAUCAUGAAACGCCCGCUGGUACUGUUCUAAUGUGUCACUGACAUUUUCACUUAAACUCUUCCCUUCUUCCUUCACACGACCAGGCCUCCGACCACGGACGGCGGCGUGAUUACUCCGGCGAACCUACAUAGGCCGCCAUACUUCAUAAUACAUGCUCAAAUUUGCUCUUACCCCUAAUUCCACUCUUGGCGCCACACCAGGGAUCGAAAAUCAGGCAUGAACUGAAUCCAAGAGCUCAGUCUAUGAGCACCUGCGGACCAGAAAUCUUCACGGACUCGUUCGCAGUGAUACAACGUGGUAUCAUUCGAAGUGAGAGUACGAUAAGCUUUGGUAACUCACCUGGACUCAAGGACGAUGGUCAGGAAGACGAGUGAAAGGAUAGAGCGGUGAGUCAACGGAGGGAGUGUCCACGGCGGCGUUCCAUGGUGGCGACACAGUGUUCCGGGGUUCCGGCUGUGGUAGAGUUCAAUUGGGCGUGUCGAUGAGCAUCACGAUAUGUAAGAGAACUCAAAACACUCACAAGCCCAACCCAAGUUACCUCAGAGAGCUUUAUCCACGGCGAGACGUCUCGCAACGGCGCGGAUGACCGAUUUGGGGGGAUUUUCGAAUUCCCGGGGUAUGGUGGAUGGCAGGAUAUGUUUGGGGUUGUGUUUGGUUUGUGACAAGGGGGCGGAGCAAGGGAAUUCUCAAUU
RNAcentral lists this long non-coding RNA (2952 nucleotides) under Zea mays. RNAcentral describes it as "long non-coding RNA (ZMAY_LNC004370)". The record is from RNAcentral. Lineage: Eukaryota; Viridiplantae; Streptophyta; Magnoliopsida; Poales; Poaceae.